UGAGCUGUGUAACCUUGGAUACAGUU
RNAcentral lists this non-coding RNA (26 nucleotides) under Homo sapiens (human). Lineage: Eukaryota; Metazoa; Chordata; Mammalia; Primates; Hominidae. The record is from RNAcentral.